GAAAACCUGAAAAAUGCAGGACUGCUCAUUCAAUCUUGGGAAGAGCUGGAUGAUUCUGCACAAGCAAAAAUGACUUGAAAUAUAUGUAUAGACACAUCUCUACCAGUC
Dipodomys spectabilis (banner-tailed kangaroo rat) is the source of this 108-nucleotide long non-coding RNA. RefSeq lists it as uncharacterized. The record is from RefSeq and is a predicted model, not a curated record. The transcript is spliced from 3 exons. NCBI's taxonomy places the organism in Eukaryota, Metazoa, Chordata, Mammalia, Rodentia, Heteromyidae.